This 646-nucleotide ribosomal RNA is filed under the name uncultured bacterium. RNAcentral's name for it is "bacterial SSU rRNA". It matches the Rfam family "Bacterial small subunit ribosomal RNA", at positions 848 to 1498 of the family's 1533-position model. The record is from RNAcentral.
GCACUUAACAGAUUAAGUGUUCCGCCUGGGGAGUACGGUCGCAAGAUUAAAACUCAAAGAAAUAGACGGGGACCCGCACAAGUGGUGGAGCAUGUGGUUUAAUUCGAAGAUACGCGAAGAACCUUACCUAGCCUUGACAUUGAUUGAAUUUUCCAGAGAUGGAGAAGUGCCUUUCGGGGAACAUGAAAACAGGAGCUGCACGGCUGUCGUCAGCUCGUGUCGUGAGAUGUUGGGUUAAGUCCCGCAACGAGCGCAACCCUCGUCGUUAGUUGCUAACAGUUCGGCUGAGCACUCUAGCGAGACUGCCUUCGCAAGGAGGAGGAAGGUGAGGACGACGUCAAGUCAUCAUGGCCCUUAUGGCUAGGGCUACACACGUGCUACAAUGGGGCGUACAGAGAGUUGCGAUACCGCGAGGUGGAGCUAAUCUCAUAAAGCGUCUCUCAGUUCGGAUUGUUCUCUGCAACUCGAGAACAUGAAGCUGGAAUCACUAGUAAUCGUAGAUCAGCAAUGCUACGGUGAAUACGUUCCCGGGUCUUGUACUCACCGCCCGUCACACCAUGGGAGUUGAUUUCGCCCGAAGCGGGGAUGCUAAACUAGCUACCCUCUACGGCGGAAUUAGCGACUGGGGUGAAGUCGUAACAAGGUA